CUUGCCUUGUUCCAGAUGGUUCCUGGGCACGUUCUCCUCGUUAGCAUGCUAAUUUAUUCUGACUCAUCAUCGGGAAGCUGCUGCCGGCGGGGCUGGCGCGCACCUCGAUGCCAGAGCACGACCCGGGGGCUGAGAUACCCAGCUGGAGCAGGAGCCCGCCCCGGGGGCUGUCGCCGACGCCGGGAGCAGAGAGAACAGUUGGGGACAAGGCUUCGCGGCAGGCUGAGCGGCUUGUGAUCUCCCCUCUGGUGGCCCUGACACUGCGACAGGCUCGCGAGAGCAGGGCUGGGGACGCAGGCUCGUGCAGCGAGGCUCCGGGUAGAGCACAAAUGUGGCUGAGGCGUAACGGAGGCGCCGGGAACAAAGACCCAGAGCGGAGACCCCCCCACCCCCGCGCCUGACAGUUCCCCGUCAGAGUCAGCGCCCGGGCCGGCCCGAGCCUCCAGGUGCGGGCCCAGGCCCUCGACCUCCCCUCUGUCCUCCGGACGCAGGGGUGCGGCCCACCCAGUCCAGGACACUGGGACACGCGAGACGGAAGGCGGAGGCCCUCGUCGGCCCGUGUGCGGCCCCAGCAGCCCCGGGCUCCCGCGGCAAGGCUCACCACCCUGCCAGAUGCAGAGGGACCUCCCUGGAGCAGCCGACAGCUGAGAAGCUGGAGAGACAGGGCGGGUGAGACAGGCCACCACCCGGCCCUCCAGGAGGGCAGCACUGAGCCCCUGGGGGCCAGGCCCCAGCAGCCAGCCGACCCCACACAAGCCUUCCCUGCCUCGCCCCCCAGCACCCUGGAUGCUGCUGGGCUCGCCCCCAGAGGCGGCUCCGGGAGAUCCAGCCUGUGAGGGGGCGGGGAGGCGGGCCUCCUUCAGCAGCAGCGCCCUGAUCCACCGCCCUGGGCAAACCUGGACAAAAUGGCCUCGAUGACCGCUGGGGCCUGGAAAACUGGUGUCCCUUUCCGGCCCGGGUUCCCUGGCGAAAUCCCUCCAGCCGGCUCCCUCCCCAGGGCGCCCCAGGCCACCCUCCUGCUCAGGGCGGCUGGUUGCCCUCCUGGACCUUGGGGCUCCCUGCUGCUCAGCCCCCAGUGCUCUGCAGAGAGGAGUUUCCUGCCCCCUGGGAGUCAGUGACCAAGUAGCCAGGACACGGUGAUCAGGGUUCUGGAAUCCCCAAAGCCCCAUCCACACUGUCCAUGGCUCCCUGGCAACCGGAGGGCCUGUUUCUGCUGAGGAGGAGGGAGUGUGAGCCAGGGGCUGGGGCUCCGUGUGCUGGGCGUCAGGAUCCGGGAAUGUCAGCGUGAAGCAGGGAACAGGCAGCAAGCCAAUGCCACCUGGGUGUCCUGGGAGCACGGGACGUCGUAGGGACUGAGACGCCCUCACUGGACCGCAGAGCCGACCAGGAGAAGCACUCGUCUGGGGAGAAGCCUGUGUGAAGGGGGGCAGGGACGGCCGGGGGCGUCCAGCCUGGCUGGAGCGGACGGCCCAGCAGGACGCUGCGCGAGAUGGUUUCAGAAGCGCCGGGGCUUGGCGCUGCCAGGCUGCGCUCUGGGUGGGACUCGUGGGGCCUGGGAACCACGGAAGGUUCAAUGCAGACUCCGUCGGCAGGGGGCAUCUGCCACAGGGGUCGUCCCUCCUUGCGGGGGCUUGGCACGUCCCGACCACGGCCCCCACAUUCUUGCCUGUUUGGGAGGAAUCCCUGCUAUGCCUUUAUUGCCUGAACACCUGCUCCGGGGGGCUCCGGUGCGGGACGAUGGGCCGCCUUCACCAACAGGCCACAGAGACAGUGAAAUCGGGCCGUCCGGACACCCAGGUUCUGGAGAAAGGGCCCCGUGCCUCCAGGAGCCAUGCAGCAAGCUCAAGGCAGGGUGCGGGGAGAAAGGGAGGCCCUGGGGCCGUGUCCGGGGUCCGUGACGGCUGAGCUAGGGCCCGACUGGCCCAGAGGAACCCCAAGAGGAGGGCUCUGGUCAGCCCCGCGGGGGUCUUCUCUAACAGGCCCCCAGGGCAGGCCCUGGCCCCGGGGAGACUGUAGGGAGGCAGAUUCGAGACGGCCAUUUGCUUGGGGCUGUGCUCGCGCGGCGGGUGGGGGAGGGUCCUUGGAUGGCCCCCAGGCCACAAGGCCACGCGCUGCACAAGCCCCCACUUGGUGAGCUGCGGCAAGUGGACGGGAGAAGGCGGUCAGAGAGGUCGUGAGGUCGUGUGGGCAUCGUGUCGCGGUGGUCAGAGCGGGUCCUGCCCUGGUGGUCACGGCUUCCCCGUGGUGGGGCCCACAGCCCUGCCACUUCUCACCUCAGACUUCAGACAUGUGGUUUACCCAAAAAAUCCCCCAAACUUCUAGGUUCCUCCUGCUUUUCUAGGCCUGGUUCUGCAAACUCGCUCGGAUUCUGUGAGGUACACGCUGUCCCCUACUAAGUCCCUUACUGCUUCAGUGAUCUGCGGUUGGAUUCUGACUCCUGCAGCCAAGAAACUGAGUAACUGAGACACGGGUUCCAGGAGCGGGCACAUCAAGGGUGCCCCCCACAGCCCGCCUGUGGCUCUCUCCGCGUCCUGAGGGCAUCGUGGAAAAGCACCGAGUGGAACAGUUGGCCUGACCCUGGACUGAGGCGGAGCCCGCGGGGACCCAGCGCUUGGCCGGCUGCCGAACUCCCGUUUCUCCAUGUUCCUGGAGGAAUCCAGACCGAGGGCCGCCAUCCCCUGAGAGCUAGGAACGCCCUUCCUGUGCGAGCGCGGCUGGGGCAGGUUGGAGACGGAUACGGGCCGCAGCAUCACCCUGGCUGGAUCGGCCCGCAGGGCCAGGCGACCGUGCACCUGUGGCCUGGGUCCAGGCAGAUUUGGGCAGAAGCUUCUCCACUCUCAUCUCGGGCCCGUACCCCCGUGGGGCCCACAGAACUCUGGGUGGCUCCCCGGGAACCCAGGCCACGUGGGUUCCUCACGCUGCAGGACAUGGGCCCUGGCCCGCCCAAGGGUGGGAGGCAAGCCCACGAGGAGGUGUGACCUCCCAGCGGAGCUGUGUGUCUGACAGUCUGGUGGCCUGGGACUUGCCAGGACGCCCCUCCCCCUUCCCCAGCUGCUAAGGAAGAAGCAGCAGGAGCAGAAACUCUGGGAGUGCGGAGGAAAGAGCUCACCGUGCAGGGCCCGCAGCUCCACGUGGGCCGGAGCCAAAGCAGGCCGGGCGGAUGGUCUCUGAGGAGCGGGACCGCUGCAGGUGGGCAGACAGGACUCUGCGGGGCCGCCACCUGGAGCCCCGGCGGAAGGACCCUGUGCCGCAGGGACCACCCUCCCCGGGAGGAAGAGCGUCUGGCUCAGGCCGAAGGGGCUGUGGUCCCUUGACACCGGAUGCCCGGGUGGCCCGAGCUGCCCACGGUGGGGGCUCUGUGCCCACUCUGCUCCAUCACCAAGCAGGCGUACCGCCGCCAGCUGCCUGCUGCAGGGGGGCCAUGGGGGGCGGGGGCCGGUCCGCCCAGCAGGGCCCGGUGUACAGACGGCGACACCCACCGCUUGUUACCAGUGCGGACCCAGCACCCAUCCCCCCGGCCACGCC
Long non-coding RNA from Mustela erminea (ermine), 3525 nucleotides. RefSeq lists it as uncharacterized. NCBI's taxonomy places the organism in Eukaryota, Metazoa, Chordata, Mammalia, Carnivora, Mustelidae. The record is from RefSeq and is a predicted model, not a curated record. The transcript is spliced from 3 exons.